RNAcentral lists this long non-coding RNA (1943 nucleotides) under Equus asinus (donkey). Its description in RNAcentral is "lncRNA (ENSEASG00005024377.1)". Lineage: Eukaryota; Metazoa; Chordata; Mammalia; Perissodactyla; Equidae. The record is from RNAcentral.
CCGCUCCUCCGCUUCCUUCCUUUGCCCCCACGCCUUCCUUCUCUCCUUCUUCGGGACCCAUGCUGCGCCCCUGCCCAUCGCCCUUGCUCUCCUGCUCCCAGUGGGCCAGGUCGGGAUCCACCCCGCUCUGCCCUCUUGCCCUCUUGGGCACGGUCCCCUCACAACACCCACAUGCAGACUUUGAGACGCUCCUCUCGGUCUCCAGCCCUUUCUGCCUUGCCCUCUCUCUGUUGUCCCUUGGCUCCAGCCCGCAGGGCAAGAGCCCCCACCUCCCAGCCCCCACUGUCCCACCCCUCGCUCUCUCCCUCCGCGCCCCUUGGCUGACAACGUCAUCUUCUGCGACCCGACCUGUGACCCCGCGCUGGUUUGAAGGUCCCCGUCUAUCCGUGCUUGCCUCUGCGGGCUCCUCCCGCCCCGUGCUAGACUACCUCCAUUCCUCUGCGGGUCCCCUGAAAUAGCAGAAGCAGGCAUUUGGCGAUCUUUGCGAACUCUCACCUCCGCCUUGCUUCCUACCUGCUCCUCUGCCAUUUCUAAGCGUGCCUGCCAUCCACACGCUGGACUCCAUGCUCGUGAGUCCAUCCCGAAGGCCCUGACGUGCUUCCUGAGCGGGGUGCCUCAUAACUGCCAGCCUGCCCCGUUUCCUCUGUGUCACUACAGCCACCGUAUCCCCUUUCCGCACCUGUUCCCCAGGGGUCCGGCUCUUCACACCCCCCGGGCCGUGAGUCCUGCCUCCGCGCUCCCGCCCUGCUCCUGCCACGUGGCCUCCAUUCCUCCCCUGCCAAGCCCCUUGCCCAGACAUCGGCCCAUGUCCCAACACCGCACGCUCUUCAGGCUGGCUUCCCCUUUUCCCACCCGGAGUCCCCCGCACCUUCACGAGGUUCCCUCCCCUCUUCAGUCCCGCCUGCCCCUGUCUCUUCCCAUCGGCUAUCCUGACCCCACCCACAGCCCGCAGACCACCUGCUCACGGCUGCCCGAGACUCCACUAUCGCCCUCUGCGCACGUCCCUGCUGUGCGGAUUUCAACCCUUCUUGGCCCAUCCUCCUCUUUUUCUCCCACUGUCGUCUCUGAGAGACCCUCGCGUCAUCUUCAGCCACCGUCCUACUCGCCCUCGUAGCUGUCGGGCCCGUGAGGCAGCCACCGUCUUCCCCCAGCAACUUGUGCCCUGGAUGCCCUGCCCUCAUGCUCCCCGCCUUGCCCUCUUCAUCGCCAACGUGCUGUGCCGAAUCCAUCUGCUCUCCCAGUUCGCUCCCAAGGCCCCUACCGUUUUAGCUGCCACCGUUUUUGAGACGGUCACUCCUCCUCUGGGCGUCUCUCUGACCUUUCCCGUCUCCCCGUGCCCCACACUGACAGGGCUGUCUCCAGCACCUUCCAGGCCACUACCACCACCGCCUCAUCCUCCUCCGUUCUCCUCCCUCCCGCCUCUCCUGCGUUCCUUGAUUCCUCGCCCACGCUGUGCUCUGCUCCCGGGUGCGCUUCCUCGGGGCCCUGGUCCACUCACGGGAACACACUUCCUUGAUUCUCCACGUCCAGCCCUUCCUUCGGGCCCUCCGCCGGCCCUCGUGGCCCGGCACGUCCCUGGUCCUCUGUGCAAGCCUCUCCUGUCCCCAGCGGUCAGGCGCCACGGCCUGCCCCUCUCCCGCUUCCGGCCGGCUGGACCGCCUCUCCUCGACCCUACUCUCCCACGUCUUGCACGCUGCUCCCCUCACCUCCUGCCUCCAGGGCCCCAUUUCCUUGCCUCUCCUCUCUGCUCCUCACCUGCCUACACAGCAACGGGACGGGACUGUCCUACCGGAGCCCGCGAACGUUCUUUCAGCUACCCUCUGUGACUCUUCCAGCGGGCCUCAGGACUUGGCGCUGCUGUGUGCUCCAUGCUUAGUCCCUCGCCCCCGGCUCAACCCACUUCGGCCGGUCGUCUUCGCCUCGCACACAACGUACUGAAUGAG